Unclassified non-coding RNA from Bison bison bison, 95 nucleotides. Its record names the gene Vault. It matches the Rfam family "Vault RNA". From Rfam's summary of the family: This family of RNAs are found as part of the enigmatic vault ribonucleoprotein complex. The complex consists of a major vault protein (MVP), two minor vault proteins (VPARP and TEP1), and several small untranslated RNA molecules. It has been suggested that the vault complex is involved in drug resistance. The record is from Ensembl. Lineage: Eukaryota; Metazoa; Chordata; Mammalia; Artiodactyla; Bovidae.
CUGCUGGCUGUAGAUCAGUGGCUCCUUCAACUACAAAGUGAUUCAAUUACCUUUCGAGGGUGGUUCAAGACACACGGGCGCUCUCCAGUCCUUUU